This 26-nucleotide ribosomal RNA is filed under the name Umbelopsis isabellina. RNAcentral's name for it is "partial 18S ribosomal RNA". Lineage: Eukaryota; Fungi; Mucoromycota; Umbelopsidomycetes; Umbelopsidales; Umbelopsidaceae. The record is from RNAcentral.
AUUNGUACUCGAUCACUAUACGGCGA